GGUGAUGUAGCUCAGUGAUAGAGCACAUUCCUUGCACUAGUGAGGCUCUGGGUUCCAUGCCUAGUAUCAACA
This is a non-coding RNA of Ictidomys tridecemlineatus (thirteen-lined ground squirrel), 72 nucleotides long. The record is from Rfam. Lineage: Eukaryota; Metazoa; Chordata; Mammalia; Rodentia; Sciuridae.